CCUACGGGUGGCAGCAGUAGGGAAUCUUUCACAAUGGGCGAAAGCCUGAUGGAGCAACGCCGCGUGCAGGAUGAAGGCCCUCGGGUUGUAAACCGCCUUUAUAAGCGAGAAAUAUGACGGUAACUUAUGAAUAAGGAUCGGCUAACUACGUGCCAGCAGCCGCGGUCAUACGGAGGAUCCGAGCGUUAUCCGGAGUGACUGGGUGUAAAGGGUUGCGUAGGGGGGGUGUCAAGUCAGGGGUGAAAUCCCCGGGCUCAACGUGGGAACUGCCUUUGAAACUGGCAAACUGGAGUGUAGGAGAGGAAGGUGGAAUUCCUGGUGUAGGGGUGAAAUGCGUAGAUAUCAGGAGGAACAUCGGUGGCGAAGGCGGCUUGCUGGCACGCAACUGACGCUGAGGAGCGAAAGCGUGGGUAGCAAACAGGAUUAGAUACCCGAGUAGUC
Molecule: ribosomal RNA, 441 nt
Filed under: uncultured bacterium
Lineage: Bacteria
Description: partial 16S ribosomal RNA
Rfam family: Bacterial small subunit ribosomal RNA
Source: RNAcentral